UUCUCCUUUUAUGUGUGAAUUUAAAUAUGUUUCUCUUCUUAAAUAUGUACGUACCAUGUUGUUGAAUACACAUAUUCUUCAUUCAUGGUCUAUUAAUUUGGUGUUUAUGAACUUGAAAUUUCUCAAACCACAAACCAAAUUUUGAAUGUAAAGUGUGCCAACUAGCUUGUCAACGUCUACAAGCUGUUUGAUAAAAUUCCCCACUGACCAUUCACUCAUGCACAUUGUACUUGGCUAUGCAUUUUUGUUGUUCUGUUUUGAAAAUUUGUCGAGGGUACGUAUGAUAGUGUUGAUGAACUCUAUCUGAACACAACUCAAUUGACUAACAAGUAAUUAUGUGGCUCUUGGAUUUAGGGGGGCAGAACCAAGAAUUAUGUUUGAGAGGGGCCAAUGUUUAUGCAUAAAAAAUAUUAAAUUAGUUUUGAUAUAUUACUCAUUGAAUAUAAUUUCUUAUAUAAGCGUUGUUAAAGAAUUAUUUCACGAGAAAACUAAAUAAAUCUAAAAAAUAGUUUUUUCAAUUUUGAGCUAUUAGAUCUCAAUAUACAAUUAGUUGAUUUUAUAUAAUCUAGUAAAUAAAAAGUGAAAAAUGCUUAAGAUCCCUGAAAAAUGCUUAAAUUUACACUCAAUGGCAUUAAAUGUUACAUGUCAAUUGAUUUGUUUAUAAAUCAAUUAACUAAGACCUAACCCCUGCCAUGUCACUGUAAAUAAAUUUAAGGGUGAAGUUUUAGGUUCUCUGGCAUUACUCCUAAAAAAGUAUACAUAUCAUUUGAUUUCUAAAAUCCAAAAAAUAAGUGACAUGUACCUCUUGUUUUAAUAAAAUCAACUAAAGAUAAAAUAUAUGCUGUUAUUUAAAACGUGAAAUAAUUAGAGAUCAUUUCAUUAGAUGUUGUAAAAUAUUAACGAAAUAAAAAGGUAGUAAACUAUUUCUUAUAAAAUUUAAAAAUCCACCUUAUUAUACAUUUUACAAAUACUCAUAAAUAUAGAAUUAAUAAUAAAUUGUCGAAAAUCGGAGGGAGGCGGGGCCCCUCCCCUGCUUGGAUUCAAAAUCUGUUUUCCUUUAGCUAAGAAAGCAAGAAAAUUUACUUUGAGACUUAUAAUGUAGAAAUGCCAAGGUUCUGAUGUGAGCCCAUGCUAUUUUAUUCAGUUCAACUUAUAAUAUUGUUGUGGCGGUUGUAUUUUUAGUUAUGAAAUUGUAUAUUGGUGUAUGAACGGGUGUUUAGCAGGGGUGAUGUGUUGUAUCAAUGUUGUGGUAGUUGUAUUUUGAAUUAGGGAUUUAUAUCUUCUGGUGUUUGGAAUCCAGACUUUGGGUGAUUGUUUAGUAAAGAGAUUCUGUUUUAUAGCUCUGAUGUGGGCUCUGACAUGGUGGUACUUUAAAGAGUCAAAAUCCAUGCAAUUUGGCAUUAAAGAGCAAGAGAAGUGCUUCUAUGAUGCUUACCACUUUGUGCCUUUGGUUUCUUAUAAAAGCCAUGACCUUCUUUUGAGUGGGUUGUACUUCUACCUUUGGUUAUCCCCUCUUUUGUUUUCUAGGAGCUUUAGGAUAGUUAUUGGACUUACAAUAAGGGGGAACCAUAACAUUGUCUGUUCUUUGACAAUCGGCAAAGUAAUUUGGACUAUAAGUUGCUCACUGCAGUCAGUUGAUGUGUAAGAGUAAAAUUUUCCUAGAAUUUUCCCGCUUCAACUAUUUCCUGUGGCAGUGUGAUUGAAUGCUUCUUACAUGGUUGUUGUAGUGUUUGUAACAUCAAAUUCUUAUUGAUUCUGGAAGAUGUUAUGUGGAUUAAAAAUGAAUUGCACAACAAUCAUGUAAACUUUCUUUCUAUGGUCAAUUGUUUCAGCAAUAAAAUGGCAAAUGGUUUGAUAUGGGCAACCACAGUGGAUUUGGCAAGGAAUAGUGAGCAGAUUGUUUCUCUUUAUUGCCAACUAUUGUAGAGGCUUAACUCCCCUGAUUUGCCACUGAACUUGGCAGCAAGACUGGCCAAAAAAGCUGAGGUUCGUGCCAUCUUCAUGCUGGCUUCUGAGGAGCGAUCCCUCCACAACAUCAAAGAUCUCAUUGAUGCUGCUGAGUACUCCCUCUCCCUCUUAAGAAAAGGCCAAAUCCCCAAAUACAUCCAAUGAAUAAGUGAAUGACAACAACCAUAAUUCAUUUCUGUAUCAAUUUUGUUUUGUGGCUCUACUGCUCUAUGGUAAAAUAACUUGGUGAGCAUGGAUGGCUUGAAAUCUAUUAGUAAAGCAAUAUCGAGAACAUUUUCUGUCAGUUUCAGAUUAUUCUUUUAACCUCAAAUUUGUGCACUGUGACUCCAUGGGCAUCUAACACUUGUUCGGUCCAGCGAGAGAUAAUUUUUAUCCAACCGUGGUAAAAAAAAAAAAGUUUGUUCGUUUGCUUAUUCCACUUCAUACAAUGGUAUGCGUUAAUUUGCUGCUGAAAUUAUUUGAAAACUUGCGGGCAGUGAAUUGAAUAUGUUUUAACAUAGUUACUAGUUAUCUUGUGUCAGUUCAAGCUGGCUACCCCUGUUAUUUUGUGUUUAUUUUCACUUUUUAUUCAUUUCCUGUGAACAUUUUCUUAAUGUGUUUUUGACCAAUGAAGUUUUGUGGUGAGCUUGGUAAUGACCACAGUAGUAAUUUAAUCAAAUCUCAAGUGACUAGGGAUUAUUGAGAACCAUGUAUCCUGCAUUUCUCAACCUCCACAAGGGAAAAUUCAUGCAUAGAAUAUUAGUCAAAAGAGCAUGAGAGAGAGAGAGUUACCAAGAAAAAAAAAAUUGUGAAAAACAGGGCAUUUUGACCAUAUGUGCAAUCUGAUAUACAGAAUGUAAUAGGAAAUAUGAGUUUAGCCCUUACUAUUCCAGAGAGCAGUUGAAGCAAUUCAUACCCCCAGCCCAAGAGGAAAAAAAAUAAAAAAA
This is a non-coding RNA of Camellia sinensis, 2894 nucleotides long. The record is from RefSeq and is a predicted model, not a curated record. Lineage: Eukaryota; Viridiplantae; Streptophyta; Magnoliopsida; Ericales; Theaceae.